AUUGAACGCUGGCGGCAGGCCUAACACAUGCAAGUCGAACGGCAGCGGGGGGUAGCUUGCUACCCCGCCGGCGAGUGGCGGACGGGUGAGUAAUGCCUGGGGAGCUGCCCAAUCGAGGGGGAUACCAGUUGGAAACGACUGCUAAUACCGCAUACGCCCUGAGGGGGAAAGGUGGGGAUCUUCGGACCUACCGCGAUUGGAUGCACCCAGGUGGGAUUAGCUAGUUGGUGAGGUAACGGCUCACCAAGGCGACGAUCUCUAGCUGGUCUGGAAGGAUGACCAGCCACACUGGAACUGAGACACGGUCCAGACUCCUACGGGAGGCAGCAGUGGGGAAUAUUGCACAAUGGGGGAAACCCUGAUGCAGCCAUGCCGCGUGUGUGAAGAGGGCCUUCGGGUUGUAAAGCACUUUCAGCGAGGAGGAAAGGUUGGCAGCUAAUACCUGUCAGCUGUGACGUUACUCGCAGAAGAAGCACCGGCUAACUCCGUGCCAGCAGCCGCCGUAA
Molecule: ribosomal RNA, 506 nt
Filed under: uncultured bacterium
Lineage: Bacteria
Description: partial 16S ribosomal RNA
Rfam family: Bacterial small subunit ribosomal RNA
Source: RNAcentral